GACGAACGCUGGCGGCGUGCUUAACACAUGCAAGUCGAACGGAAAGGCCCCUUUGGGGGUACUCGAGUGGCGAACGGGUGAGUAACACGUGAGUAACCUGCCCUUGACUUCGGGAUAACUUCAGGAAACUGGGGCUAAUACCGGAUAGGAAUCCUUGCUGCAUGGUGGGGGUUGGAAAGCUUCGGCGGUUUUGGAUGGACUCGCGGCUUAUCAGCUUGUUGGUGGGGUAGUGGCUUACCAAGGCUUUGACGGGUAGCCGGCCUGAGAGGGCGACCGGCCACAUUGGGACUGAGAUACGGCCCAGACUCCUACGGGAGGCAGCAGUGGGGAAUAUUGCACAAUGGGCGGAAGCCUGAUGCAGCAACGCCGCGUGCGGGAGGACGGCCUUCGGGUUGAAAACCGCUUUCAGCAGGGGCGAAGCUUGUGGUGACGGUACCUGCAGAAGAAGCACCGGCUAACUACGUG
Molecule: ribosomal RNA, 465 nt
Filed under: uncultured bacterium
Lineage: Bacteria
Description: partial 16S ribosomal RNA
Rfam family: Bacterial small subunit ribosomal RNA
Source: RNAcentral